UACGGAGGGGGCUAGCGUUGUUCGGAAUUACUGGGCGUAAAGCGCACGUAGGCGGCUUUGCAAGUUAGAGGUGAAAGCCCGGAGCUCAACUCCGGAACUGCCAUUGAAACUGUUAGACUUGAGGAUGAGAGAGGUGAGUGGAAUUCCCAGUGUAGAGGUGAAAUUCGUAGAUAUUGGGAAGAACACCGGUGGCGAAGGCGGCUCACUGGCUCAUAUCUGACGCUCAGGCGCGACAGCGUGGGGAUCAAACAGG
Molecule: ribosomal RNA, 253 nt
Filed under: uncultured bacterium
Lineage: Bacteria
Description: partial 16S ribosomal RNA
Rfam family: Bacterial small subunit ribosomal RNA
Source: RNAcentral